GAUGAACGCUGGCGGCGUGCCUAAUACAUGCAAGUCGAGCGAACAGACGAGGAGCUUGCUCCUCUGACGUUAGCGACGGACGGGUGAGUAACACGUGGAUAACCUACCUAUAAGACUGGGAUAACUUCGGGAAACCGGAGCUAAUACCGGAUAAUAUAUUGAACCGCAUGGUUCAAUAGUGAAAUACGGUUUUGCUGUCACUUAUAGAUGUAUCCGCGCCGCAUUAGCUAGUUGGUAAGGUAACGGCUUACCAAGGCAACGAUGCGUAGCCGACCUGAGAGGGUGAUCGGCCACACUGGAACUGAGACACGGUCCAGACUCCUACGGGAGGCAGCAGUAGUGAAUCUUCCGCAAUGGGCGAAAGCCUGACGGAGCAACGCCGCGUGAGUGAUGAAGGUCUUCGGAUCGUAAAACUCUGUUAUUAGGGAAGAACAAUUGUGUAAGUAACUAUGCACGUCUUGACGGUACCUAAUCAGAAAGCCACGGCUAACUACGUG
This 497-nucleotide ribosomal RNA is filed under the name uncultured bacterium. RNAcentral describes it as "partial 16S ribosomal RNA". It matches the Rfam family "Bacterial small subunit ribosomal RNA", at positions 28 to 507 of the family's 1533-position model. The record is from RNAcentral.